This is an RNA transcript of Anastrepha ludens (Mexican fruit fly), 2205 nucleotides long. It is a transcript of the gene named serine/threonine-protein phosphatase 2A regulatory subunit B'' subunit gamma-like, with no coding region annotated. The record is from RefSeq and is a predicted model, not a curated record. NCBI's taxonomy places the organism in Eukaryota, Metazoa, Arthropoda, Insecta, Diptera, Tephritidae. The transcript has 4 exons.
UGGGCAACACACGGCUGCUAUGCUCAUUGACAGCUAUCUCAAUCAGCUGUACUUAUUUACUUUUAUUCACUGAUAAAAGUUACUUUUACAUCGAAGUUUUUUUCUAUAAUUUUGUGUUGAAAAGUAUUAACAUACGCUUAGAAUGGAACUCGACCCGGAUAUUGUGAAAGAAUUUGAGAAUCUUGAAGUGGCCACAGAGAAGCCAAGUGAAGAGGAGUUGUGCUCGUUCGACGAAGAGGCGCCGCUCAAGGCAACGCCACAAUUGCAACAUCACACUUAUUCAACGAUACCGAAGUUUUUCCAUGCGCCACCGCCAGCGCACAACACGUUGCGACAAAAUCUCCGCAAAGAAGCGCACUCGCUUUUUCUACAAAAACGUUCACAAGAACUGCUGGAUAAUGACGAACUGGGCGCUUUGUGGACGCUGUUGGAGAAACAUUGCACACAAGUAACGCCGCUGGGACAACAACUUAUCGACUACGAUGAUUACUUAAAGCUGCUAGAAGCCGUGAGUGCAAAAUGUAAAAAAUAUGUAACUGCGCGUCUCUACGCCAAACUGCUGUGCCAUUCCAUGUAUCCAGCGAAUUUUGCAGGCAAAGUAGAGAUCGCAUCUAUCUUCAAUUACACAAUGCGCAAAGUGUGGCUGACGCAGGGGCGUAUCGGUUUGUCGUUUUACGAUGAAAUUGGCCAAGGCUAUCUGCGCGAAAUCGACAUGGAAAACUAUAUCAUCGACAUCAUACCGACGCUAGCGCAGAUAAGCAGUUGCGUGCAACCUUCCUUUCAAAGUUUCUACGUAUGCACGGUGGUGAAAAAGUUUUUCUUCUUCCUGGAUCCCUUACAUACGGGUCGCAUACGCAUACGUGACAUACUGGCAUCUGGUCUGUUGACCGAGCUGCUGGAGUUGCGCGAUGAGGAAGCGCCUAAAGAGACACAAGAACUCAAUUGGUUCUCCAUGCCUUCGGUGCUCACUGUGUAUGGCAAUUAUCUAAAUUUAGAUAAAGAUCACAAUGGCAUGCUGAGUAAGCAAGAAUUGGCCGGCUAUGGGACGGGCACAUUGACUUCGGUUUUCCUUGAUCGCGUGUUCGAUGAGUGUCGCACUUUUGAUGGCGAAAUGGACUACAAAACAUUUCUAGAUUUCGUUUUGGCGCUAGAUAACCGACACGAGCCCCAAUCGCUGCACUAUCUCUUUCGUAUACUGGACGUGCAACAUAAGGGCUACCUAACGGCACAGACAUUGCACUACUUCUUCAAAGGCAUACAAGAGCAAAUAAGUGCCGUCAAUGCGGAGGCAGUGAAUUUUGAAGACUUAAAAGACGAAAUUUUCGACAUGGUCAAGUCGAAGGACCCAUUCAAAAUCACGCUGCAGGAUUUAAUCAAUUGUGGGCAAGCAGAAACUGUUGUCUCCAUCUUAAUAGAAUUUCACAAAUUCUGGGCGUACGAGAAUCGUGAGGAUGGCUCACAUAAUGUUUAAUUUUGCACACGAAAAUUAAAUUGAACGAUAGAAAUUGUAGCCAAGUUAAAGACAGCAGCAUCGAGAUGUGUGCAGGUGUACCGACUGGACUAACAAACUAUAAACGUUUAACAACGCUGCCAUUUUUAUGCUAUUAUGCCAUAAGUACCUAAAAGGGUGAAGAUUGUUCAAAAUGCGACGUUUAAAUUUAAGUACUUUUGUUUACGUUCACACUAACAACAACACACAUUCCAGCUUAGCGAUACGGCAUAAUUAUGUGCACGAGUAUUUAUAAGUAUAGAAGUACGGCUUGUUGAUAUUGCAGAUGCGAUGACGACUGCGUUACAUCUGCUCUGGGCAUAACUAGGCACGCUAGAUUUAAUAUUUCCACUUAAGCGCAUUUAAAAAAGUUGAAAUAAUUAUUGUGUUUUUUUGAUUUUCUAAUUACAAGCUGUCUUAAUUAAUUUUUAAAUUAGUUUACGUAUACGGCAUAUAUACAUAUAUACAUAUAUACAUAAUGUACUUAAUAAUAAAACAAUGCGAGGCUGAUAUGGGUACAUUUAUAAUGAUAGUACAGGCCUGUUUACAUAAGUUAUGGUACGUUAAGAAUUAUAGGCAACUAAAACAUAAGUAUUAAACUUUUAGUGCAAAUUUUCAAAUUAUUGUAAUUAAAUUUUAAACUCGUAUUAAAUUUAAAUUUAAAAGGCCAACUUUGCCAAUUUAAACUCCUUAAUGAAACAUCAUUCAAAGUUCUC